This 338-nucleotide long non-coding RNA is filed under the name Vitis vinifera (wine grape). Its description in RNAcentral is "long non-coding RNA (VVIN_LNC001824)". Lineage: Eukaryota; Viridiplantae; Streptophyta; Magnoliopsida; Vitales; Vitaceae. The record is from RNAcentral.
CAUCAUUUUUUUAAUCAAAUUUGUAAGGUCUUAUCCCCCAGUCCUGCAAUCCGACAACAAAAGCAAAGGCAUGGAGAAUAGUCAUAUGAUAACAAAAAUGAUGAGAAAUAAAGGAAAAGUCGCAUGCCCAUCUCCCAAUAAAAAUGGCACUUUUGAAUAACUUUACGUGUUCUCAUUUGUGUUAUUUCAAACUCUCAGAUUUUGGUAGACCUCAUCUUCUUCAUGAAAUCAAGAAGCUUUAUUGCACCAUUGGAUUGAAGAUGUCCCCGGAUGACAGAUGGACAGUUGGAGUCAGCCAAAGUAGACUUCCCAUUCAAUUAACCAAAUCUUGUUUCUUC